This 73-nucleotide transfer RNA is filed under the name Rhipicephalus microplus (southern cattle tick). Its description in RNAcentral is "tRNA-Val". It matches the Rfam family "tRNA". From Rfam's summary of the family: Transfer RNA (tRNA) molecules are approximately 80 nucleotides in length. Their secondary structure includes four short double-helical elements and three loops (D, anti-codon, and T loops). Further hydrogen bonds mediate the characteristic L-shaped molecular structure. tRNAs have two regions of fundamental functional importance: the anti-codon, which is responsible for specific mRNA codon recognition, and the 3' end, to which the tRNAs corresponding amino acid is attached (by aminoacyl-tRNA synthetases). tRNAs cope with the degeneracy of the genetic code in two manners: having more than one tRNA (with a specific anti-codon) for a particular amino acid; and 'wobble' base-pairing, i.e. permitting non-standard base-pairing at the 3rd anti-codon position. Lineage: Eukaryota; Metazoa; Arthropoda; Arachnida; Ixodida; Ixodidae. The record is from Rfam by way of RNAcentral. RNAcentral also lists the same sequence under 13 other names.
GGUUCCGUAGUGUAGUGGUUAUCACGUUCGCUUUACACGCGAAAGGUCCCCGGUUCGAUCCCGGGCGGAACCA